UACGUAGGGGGCAAGCGUUGUCCGGAAUCAUUGGGCGUAAAGCGCGUGUAGGCGGUUCGGUAAGUCUGCUGUGAAAGUCCAGGGCUCAACCCUGGGAUGCCGGUGGAUACUGUCGGGCUAGAGUACGGAAGAGGCGAGUGGAAUUCCUGGUGUAGCGGUGGAAUGCGCAGAUAUCAGGAGGAACACCGAUGGCGAAGGCAGCUCGCUGGGACGGUACUGACGCUGAGGCGCGAAAGCGUGGGGAGCGAACAGG
RNAcentral lists this ribosomal RNA (253 nucleotides) under uncultured bacterium. Its description in RNAcentral is "partial 16S ribosomal RNA". It matches the Rfam family "Bacterial small subunit ribosomal RNA", at positions 524 to 776 of the family's 1533-position model. The record is from RNAcentral.